AAUGAACGCUGGCGGCAGGCCUAACACAUGCAAGUCGAACGAGAAACCACCUUCGGGUGGUGGAAAGUGGCAAACGGGUGAUUAACGCGUGGGAAUGUACCUCUUGGCUCGGGACAGCAGUUGGAAACGACUGCUAAUACCGGAUAAGCACUACGGUGGAAAGAUUUAUCACCGAGAGAUCAGCCCGCGCUAGAUUAGCUAGUUGGUAAGGUAAUGGCUUACCAAGGCUACGAUCUAUAGCUGGUUUGAGAAGAUGAUCAGCCACACUGGGACUGAGAUACGGCCCAG
Molecule: ribosomal RNA, 288 nt
Filed under: uncultured bacterium
Lineage: Bacteria
Description: partial 16S ribosomal RNA
Rfam family: Bacterial small subunit ribosomal RNA
Source: RNAcentral